AUGGACUCUGUUAUGCAAUAGUGUGUUAAGUACAUAGGAUUUCCAUAGCACUUAACACAUUAAUGCAUAACAGUGUCCAUAUAUUGUCUAUAGAAGCUA
This is a long non-coding RNA of Cotesia glomerata, 99 nucleotides long. RefSeq lists it as uncharacterized. NCBI's taxonomy places the organism in Eukaryota, Metazoa, Arthropoda, Insecta, Hymenoptera, Braconidae. The transcript is spliced from 3 exons. The record is from RefSeq and is a predicted model, not a curated record.